GACGAACGCUGGCGGCGCGCUUAACACAUGCAAGUCGAACGGAAAGGCCUGCUUUCCCUUGUGGAUUGCGGGUACUCGAGUGGCGAACGGGUGAGUAACACGUGAGUGAUCUGCCCCCAACUUGGGUAUAAGCCUGGGAAACUGGGUCUAAUUCCCGAUAGGACUGCAGGGUGGUGCCUGUGGUGGAAAACGAUUUUCUAGUGGUUGGGGAUGAGCUCGCGGCCUAUCAGCUUGUUGGUGGGGGAAUGGACGACCAAGGCGGCGACGGGUAGCCGGCCUGGGAGGGUGGGCGGCCAAAUUUGGAAUGAGAUACGGCCCAGACCCCCAAGGGAGGCAGCAGGGGGGAAUAUUGGACCAUGGGCGGAAGCCUGAUGCCGCGACGCCGGGGGGGGGAUGACGGCCUUCGGGUUGUAAACUCCUUUCGACCGCGGGGAAGGCACCUGGUUGGAAGGGUGGUGACGGUAGUGGUAGAAGAAGCACCGGCUAACUACGUG
RNAcentral lists this ribosomal RNA (494 nucleotides) under uncultured bacterium. RNAcentral describes it as "partial 16S ribosomal RNA". It matches the Rfam family "Bacterial small subunit ribosomal RNA", at positions 28 to 507 of the family's 1533-position model. The record is from RNAcentral.